GACGAACGCUGGCGGCGUGCCUAAUACAUGCAAGUAGAAUGCACAGUUUAUACCGUAGCUUGCUACACCAUAGACUGUGAGUUGCGAACGGGUGAGUAACGCGUAGGUAACCUGCCUGGUAGCGGGGGAUAACUAUUGGAAACGAUAGCUAAUACCGCAUAAUAUUAAUUAUUGCAUGAUAAUUGAUUGAAAGAUGCAACUGCAUCACUACCAGAUGGACCUGCGUUGUAUUAGUUAGUAGGUGAGGUAACGGCUCACCUAGGCGACGAUACAUAGCCGACCUGAGAGGGUGAUCGGCCACACUGGGACUGAGACACGGCCCAGACUCCUACGGGAGGCAGCAGUAGGGAAUCUUCGGCAAUGGACGAAAGUCUGACCGAGCAACGCCGCGUGAGUGAAGAAGGUUUUCGGAUCGUAAAGCUCUGUUGUAAGAGAAGAACGGGUGUGAGAGUGGAAAGUUCACACUGUGACGGUAUCUUACCAGAAAGGGACGGCUAACUACGUG
This 505-nucleotide ribosomal RNA is filed under the name uncultured bacterium. RNAcentral's name for it is "partial 16S ribosomal RNA". It matches the Rfam family "Bacterial small subunit ribosomal RNA", at positions 28 to 507 of the family's 1533-position model. The record is from RNAcentral.